AAACGAAAUCACUUUUAUCUGGGGCCUGCAAAGGGCAAAGCUUUAUCUGUUUAUACAUUCAGGAAAAAAUUUAGCUUUCAGGCUCCAUUUUUUUUGUCACAAAAAGAUGUUUCAUUACCCAAACUAAGUGACAUCAUCUGUGCUGUUGACCCAGGUGAACCUCCUGGUGGCCCACGGGGUGUCAAACUGGUGGUCCACAGACUGGAUGCACCAAGUACAGGCCACGCCUACCCCUGGCUCAGUGAAGGCAAAGAAGUUGCGUUUGACACCCCUGCUCUAAAAGAAUGCAAAUGACCAGCUGUCUGCAAGGAAUAAAAAUGCUUCCAUUCCCCACCAUCUAGUCAGAGCUGAAGAAUCUUCUUAGAUGAGAAGUGAAAUGUCUUCAAAGAAAAAGCAAGAACAUCUAGUUGCCUCCUGAAAAAGCACCUUUGGGUUAUAACCAGAUACAUCUUCAUUCUGUGCCUCACUUCUUUUCCUUUACAGGUCAAAUAUAAUCUAUCAUAACUGACAUGAACAACACUGUGAGAGAAGAUCUUUUCAAUGCAUUGAAUGACCUCCUUGAGAACCAAUUUCAAGAUUUUAAAUGGUGGCUAAAGGAUAUUGACUACAAUGGAAAGUCAAACAUUCCUAUAGCUCAUUUGGAAAAGGCUAAUCAGCGAGAUGUUGUAGAUCUCCUGAUUCAGCAUUAUGGAGAAGAUGCUCGACAGGUGUGCAUUCAUGUCCUUCAAAAAAGCAAUAUAAAUGAUGUUGCUAGAAAACUUGAGGAAAUUUUACAGAAAGGUAAGAAAAUUGAACAUAUUACAAAAAAGUUCUCCCAUAUAAGAUCAACUAGAAAUAAAUACCAAUUGUGGUUUGGGGAGUUGUCUCCACUGAAUUGUGUCAACUAAUUCAUUGAUGUUGACUACGAUUGGCAGUGGGUCCCUGGGAUUUCAGAGAGGAACUUUCCUUCUAGCCUGACUUUCCUUUUAAUCUACGACCUGAAAUCAAACCUAUGGGAACUUCUAUCACUCAAUUUGGCACUUUCCUGUCACUGAAAAAACAAAAGAAAAGAGUUAA
This is a non-coding RNA of Pseudonaja textilis, 1056 nucleotides long. The record is from RefSeq and is a predicted model, not a curated record. Lineage: Eukaryota; Metazoa; Chordata; Lepidosauria; Squamata; Elapidae.